Molecule: ribosomal RNA, 188 nt
Filed under: uncultured bacterium
Lineage: Bacteria
Description: partial 16S ribosomal RNA
Rfam family: Bacterial small subunit ribosomal RNA
Source: RNAcentral
CAGCAACGCCGCGUGCGGGAAGAAGGCUUUCGGGCUGUAAACCGCUUUCAGCAGGAACGAAAAUGACGGUACCUGCAGAAGAAGGAGCGGCCAACUAUGUGCCAGCAGCCGCGGUGAUACAUAGGCUUCCAGCGUUGUCCGGAUUUAUUGGGCGUAAAGAAUUCGUAGGCGGUCGAGUAAGUCGGGUG